RNAcentral lists this ribosomal RNA (392 nucleotides) under uncultured bacterium. Its description in RNAcentral is "bacterial SSU rRNA". It matches the Rfam family "Bacterial small subunit ribosomal RNA", at positions 28 to 419 of the family's 1533-position model. The record is from RNAcentral.
GACGAACGCUGGCGGCGUGCUUAACACAUGCAAGUCGAGCGGUAAGGCCCUUUCGGGGGUACGACGAGCGGCGAACGGGUGAGUAACACGUGGGUGACCUGCCCUCAGCUCUGGGAUAAGCCUGGGAAACCGGGUCUAAUACUGGAUAUGACUCCAUGACGCAUGUUGUGGGGUGGAAAGCCUUGUGCGGCUGAGGAUGGGCCCGCGGCCUAUCAGCUUGUUGGUGGGGUGANGGGCCUACCAAGGCGACGACGGGUAGCCGGCCUGAGAGGGCGACCGGCCACACUGGGACUGAGACACGGCCCAGACUCCUACGGGAGGCAGCAGUGGGGAAUCUUGCGCAAUGGGCGAAAGCCUGACGCAGCGACGCCGCGUGAGGGAUGACGGCCUGG